Molecule: long non-coding RNA, 2296 nt
Organism: Mesocricetus auratus (golden hamster)
Lineage: Eukaryota; Metazoa; Chordata; Mammalia; Rodentia; Cricetidae
Exons: 2
Source: RefSeq, a predicted model, not a curated record
CCGCCGCCCCACCCCGCCCCUCCCCUCUCUCAUCCCCUAUCUGUGCCCACUUGCCCUUUGCUCAUCCCCAACUAGACACCUGGAGACAAACAGAAACGGAGUUCUCUAGGGGGGAGGGGACGUUGGGUUGGGCUUGGUUACCAUGGUGCCGCGAGGUGGGGGAGAGGGCUGGGGCUCACACUCCUGAACGCGGGAAAAGUGGAACUGAGGGCCAGGACGGAGGCUUUAAGCAAGCAGGUGCCUGUUAGGCCGUCCUGCGUGAGUGCGGAAGUCCUGUCUAUGCUCCCUGCAGGCGCUCUUUGUGUCUUGAAUCUCUUAAUUAUUAUUAACCCCCCCUUUAGAGACAGCUUGCCUCGGUAGCCCACGAUGCCCUUGCAGAAAUGUGUCACCACACCCACUGGAAUCCCCACUCUCCCUUCCCAGAGGCCCGUGUGUCACUGUGCUGAUGCAGAGCUUGCUUGAGAUCAAAGACAGGUGGAGCGGAGACGCCAGCUUUCCAGUGUUUGGCAUGGCGGGACCCAGGUGGAGAGGAGACGCCAGCUUUCCAGUGUUUGGCAUGGCGGGACCCAGGUGGAGCAGGAGACGCCAGCUUUCCAGUGUUUGGCAUGGCGGGACCCAGGUGGAGCAGGAGACGCCAGCUUUCCAGUGUUUGGCAUGGCGGGACCCAGGUGGAGAGGAGACGCCAGCUUUCCAGUGUUUGGCAUGGCGGGACCCAGGUGGAGAGGAGACGCCAGCUUUCCAGUGUUUGGCAUGGCGGGACCCAGGUGGAGCAGGAGACGCCAGCUUUCCAGUGUUUGGCAUGGCGGGACCCAGGUGGAGAGGAGACGCCAGCUUUCCAGUGUUUGGCAUGGCGGGACCCAGCUGUGCCCGAAGCCGGCGGUUCCCUGUUAGGAAGGGAGAAACUUAAACUUCAGUCGGUUCAGCUGGUUUUGUUUUGGGAGGGUUGCUUUUGUUGUUGUUUUUAUUUUCCCAAGACAGGGCUCAUCAUGUAGCUCUGGAACUUCCUAUGUAGACCAGGCUGGCCUUGAACAGUCAUCAUCCUGCUUCUGCCUGGUGAGUGCAGGUGUGCCCCACUAUUGGCAAUUUUAAAAGUCCCUAUUUUUAAUGGUCUCAGUCAAUCUUCUGUGACCAUGUCUUUCAAUGUUCUGAGAGAGAGAGAGAGAGAGAGAGAGAGAGAGAGAGAGAGAGAGAGAGAGAGAGAGAGCUCUGCUACACUGACCCUUCCCUUUCUCUCAUUAAGCUGCCUUCAAUUCCAUCUCUGUAGGACAAGGGGCAUCAUGGACUGCUGAAGCCCUCCUGUUAGAGGCACGUGCAGUGAAUGAAUGAAUGAAUGAAUGAAUGAACAAGUGCCAGCUCAGUGGACUGUGUAAGAAGAGAACAGUCUCAGACCAUACAGGGCAUCCUGGAAUGUUGUGCAACCCAAGUAACUAGUUACUUUUCUGUUGCUGUGAUAAAGCACCAUGGGCAAGACAACUUGAAAAGAAAAGAUUUACUUGGUCUCACAGUUCCAGAGGGAUAAGAGACAAUGGUGGCAGGGGACAGCAGACACAGCUGCAGGAACCGCAAGCUGAAACCUCACAUCUUAACCGCAGGCAGGAAGCAGAGAGCAAACUGGGAAGGGAGGAGCCCAAAUGUUUGAACUCUCGAAGCCUGCCCCAAGAGACACAGACACACUUCCUCCAGCGAGACCACAUCUAAACUGCCCAGACAAACACCACAACCGGGGAUCAAGUGUUAAAUGCCCAAGACCUUUUGAGAAUAGCUCAUUCAAACCUGACAUUCUCUGGGAUCAGUUUCCUCAUCUCUUGCUCAGUGGCUCAGUGAAAGUCCUCUUUCCUGGUCAGUUUUAACUGUCAAGUCCUCACAGCUUAGAGUCAUCUGAGAAGAGCCUCAUUUGAAGAAUUUCCUAGCUCAGGUUGGCUUGUGGGCAUGUCUGUUGGGACUUUCUGGAUUGCUAAUGGCUGUUGCAGGACCCAGCCCACUGUGGGUGGCAUCAUUCCCCAGGCAAGUGGACCUGGGAUUUUAUAAGAUAGCCAAGCAGAGGCAUGGGUGGCAAGCAAACAAAAAGCAGUUUUCUUCCAUGGUUCCUGGCCUGGCUUCCCCCAGUGAUGGACUGUGCCCUGGAAGUCGGAGCCAGAUAAACCCUUUCCUCCCAUAAGCUGCUUUGGGUCAGAAUAUUUUAUUAAAGCAACAGGAAAGUAGCUAGGACAACUAUUCAUCCUCUAAAUCCUGUUCUCCUUUCUCUCUCUCUGUAACCCAACCUAAGUUCUUAAAAAUAAACAAAAUCACAAAUGCA